UUUGGAGCAGUGGAAAGUGUUAAGGCAACAAGUGAUAUCUACUCUCCAAUCUCAGGAGAAAUUGUUGAGGUUAACUCAAAGCUCACAGAAACACCUGGCCUGGUAAUUAAUUCCAUUAGUAUUCUUUUUCCUUCAUCAUUUCUCUAUAUCAGAAAAUCAAACAUGCUCUUCAAGCAUAACUAAAGAACAUAAACAAAUUCAUAACCUCUCAUUACCUGAUUAUAUAUACUCAUACUUUUGUACUUAUUUUACUUGAAGAUCAACACAAGCCCAUAUGAAGAUGGAUGGUUGAUCAAAAUAAAGCCAAGCAAUCCAUCUGAACUGGAU
RNAcentral lists this long non-coding RNA (327 nucleotides) under Lupinus angustifolius (narrow-leaved blue lupine). RNAcentral describes it as "long non-coding RNA (LANG_LNC000996)". The record is from RNAcentral. Lineage: Eukaryota; Viridiplantae; Streptophyta; Magnoliopsida; Fabales; Fabaceae.